Molecule: non-coding RNA, 479 nt
Organism: Vicia faba (fava bean)
Lineage: Eukaryota; Viridiplantae; Streptophyta; Magnoliopsida; Fabales; Fabaceae
Source: the annotation of a GenBank genome assembly
ACACGCAAACACUUCACAACUUUCUCUCAUUUUUGCUCCAAGAUCAAAAAUACACUUUCUCUCAAUUUUUCAUAACAAACUCUCAAGAACAUCAACACAAAAACUCAAAAAGUUCAUCUUCUCCUUUAAGUUUCCGGCAGCCACCAUCUCACGCCGCCCGAAGCUCACUGGCGAGCUCCCUCCGACGAUCCUCUCAUUCUCCCUCUGUCGCAUAUCGCUCUGCCUCCCUCGUUCUCUUUCCGUCGCACAAGUCUGACGGCCCAUCCUCCCCCUUCGCAUCGCGCGACUGCUCUGGCCAUUCCUCCCUGCUCUGGUUUCGUGAUUUCGGCCAGCACCUCUGUCAUUCUUCUCCAAUCUUCGUUUUCCGGUACAUUAUGAGAGCUUUCGAUCAUGUAACUAAGUGUUGGUUAUAUGUGAUUGAAAAGUAUUUGGUCUGGAUUCGCUUCCGAUGCGAGUUAUUCUUGUUUCUCAUUUCAUGA